Molecule: long non-coding RNA, 1822 nt
Organism: Chinchilla lanigera (long-tailed chinchilla)
Lineage: Eukaryota; Metazoa; Chordata; Mammalia; Rodentia; Chinchillidae
Exons: 3
Source: RefSeq, a predicted model, not a curated record
GUGGCUUUCCGUUCCACCCUUUCUCCGUGGCUGACCCCGGCGGGAGGACUCCUGACGGUGACCCGGCGAUGUUGUUUAGCAGCUCCGUUCGGGCUGGACUCAGUAUCCCGGGACGUAGCCCAGAUUCCAAGUGGAGCUGCCACAAGGGGAUAUCCUAUACGCGAAGACCCUAUCGGUCCCUGGGAACCCGGAAGUUGCUGGCAGCCCUGCCUGGCCCUUUGGUCACGUCGACUGCGACGUAGUGGGUGACGCACGCGGGGCGGCUCUGGCGGAGGUGAAGUCGGAGGGCCGCGCGCGCAAAGCCGGCGUCUCAAGAGACGUUUCGGUGAAGUUCAGCUCCCUGCCGCGGUGUGUGCGCGAACAUCUGUGCCGGUUUUUACGCGGCGCUCGCGUGAGCGCACGGAAGCAGGAGGAGCAGAAAGCGGCUGGAAAAGCAGAGAAGCCGCCUCCAUGCUGCCCCGGCAUCCCCGCGAAGGGAGCGUUCAGCGCUUACCCAGUUUAGUUCUUUGCGUGGACUGAGUGAGAGUAGCAGGCAAACGAGCAGAUACGGUUUCACUGGCCAUUUCAUUGCCCUCCAACCACCACCCCGCACCUCUUCCUUACAUGACACUGGGAAAAGAAGUGGGAGUCGGCGGGAGGAAAAUGCUGGCCAGGUCUGAGAGUCAACCUGGGGCUCCCUGGGCUCCUCCGGGCGCAGAAUUCUGAGCCAGACAGUGUCCUUGGCAGCUCUUCGCGAUCAACCUGGGGACGGAUCCUCUGGAGCUGGCCUGUUUCCUGCCCAACUGCCGCCCUUGCUGAGAGAUUUUUAGUGAAGAUCCUCUUUCCCUAACAGCCAGCUGGGUCCGGUUAUGUUUUGACUUGAACAUUUUGUCAUAUAUAGUAUAUACCUUUUUUUAGACUGGAAGAAAGGCGUCGUUACCUCACUUCCUACCUAACUGGGACACUGAAGCAAGAGCAAAGAGUAAAUCAGAACCUCAUAGAGAAUAUCAGAGAAGUAGAAUUUUUUUAUGCCUGCCUGCGACAUUUUUCAUUGUAGCAUAUCAGAGACCUAGGGUUCUUAAUCCGGCACAUUCGUACUUUUAGAGUAACAGCUCACAGACUCUGGUAAGAAGUCAAACUGAGCAGGAAUUUGUGUGGAGAAGUGAAACUGUUGGGUCAGUUUUGAAAGAACAGUUCUUUUUCUGCAGUAGUACAGUGAGCCUUGGAACUAUAUGUGUGAGCCAGCUCGGUACCAGUCAUGUGAGAAGAACUCUGCAAAUCAUUUUGAGUGUUCUCAGAAGCUAUGAAGCGCUGUAUCACAAAUGUGAGGAGAGCAAGUGCUACCCUGGGAACUAAAGCAGGGAGAGAGCAAAUUCCAUAGCAGAGGUCAACUCAGCCAUUUCAAUCGCAACUUAGAUCCAAUACCCAUCCGCCCCUUGGCUCCGUGGGUGCCACAGGAAGCUCAGAGUUAAACAGCACUGCGGCAGCGGUGAGGAGAGGCUCCUGCUGGCAUCUGCUGAUGGGUGCACCUUUCCCAUCGGGGCCUUUGGUUAUGGACAUCCAGUCUCCUGGCCGAGAUUUCACAGGCCGCAUGAGCCUGGUCGUUCAGUCUGCACUGCUGUCUUUGGAACCUGUCCCCUUGUCAGGUGUCAAAGGGUGUUUAUAUCCCCCCCGCCUCCUGUGCGCCUUGGCUCUGCCUCCAGUCUGCCUCUGGAAUCAGAGUGUGUGUGUGUGUGUGUGUGUGUGUGUGAGAGAGAGAGAGAGAGAGAGAGAGCAAGACAGAGACGGAGACAAAGACAGGGAGGGAGGGAUAUCUGGCUAUUAAAUAUGCUAUACUUAUUUA